CGGAGGGUGCAAGCGUUAUCCGGAUUUACUGGGUUUAAAGGGAGCGCAGGCGGAUUAGUAAGUCAGUGGUGAAAGCCUUGAGCUUAACUCGAGAACUGCCAUUGAUACUAUUAGUCUUGAAUGUUGUUGAGGUUUGCGGAAUGGGUCAUGUAGCGGUGAAAUGCAUAGAUAUGACCCGGAACACCUAUUGCGAAGGCAGCAGGCUAAACAAAUAUUGACGCUGAGGCUCGAAAGCGUGGGGAUCAAACAGGAUUAGAUACCCUGGUAGUCCACGCCCUAAACGAUGAUUACUCGACAUACGUGAUAUGACAAUGUGCGUCUGAGCGAAAGCAUUAAGUAAUCCACCUGGGAAGUACGACCGCAAGGUUG
RNAcentral lists this ribosomal RNA (369 nucleotides) under uncultured organism. RNAcentral describes it as "bacterial SSU rRNA". It matches the Rfam family "Bacterial small subunit ribosomal RNA", at positions 526 to 896 of the family's 1533-position model. The record is from RNAcentral.